Molecule: ribosomal RNA, 420 nt
Filed under: bacterium
Lineage: Bacteria
Description: partial 16S ribosomal RNA
Rfam family: Bacterial small subunit ribosomal RNA
Source: RNAcentral
UGGGGGAUAUUGCACAAUGGGCGAAAGCCUGAUGCAGCGACGCCGCGUGGGGGAUGAAGGCUUUCGGGUUGUAAACCUCUUUCGCUAUCGAACAAGGCCCGCUUAGGGUGGGUUGAGGGUAGGUGGAGAAGAAGCGCCGGCUAACUACGUGCCAGCAGCCGCGGUAAUACGUAGGGCGCGAGCGUUUUCCGGCAUUAUUGGGCGUAAAGGGCUUGUAGGCGGCUUGUUGCGCCUGCUGUGAAAACGCGGGGCUUAACUUCGCGCGUGCAGUGGGUACGGGCAGGCUUGAGUGUGGUAGGGGUGACUGGAAUUCCAGGUGUAGCGGUGGAAUGCGCAGAUAUCUGGAGGAACACCGAUGGCGAAGGCAGGUCACUGGGCCAUUACUGACGCUGAGGAGCGAAAGCAUGGGUAGCGAACAGG